UGAAUACGAGAUGCUACGGCGUCGAAGCAGUCUAUGUCAUACUUCCAAGAAAAGCUUGCACUGUCAUAAACAAAUAAUGCCUGUACCAUAACCGACACAGGUGGGUAGGUAGAGUAUACUAAGGGGCGCGAGAUAACUCUCUCUAAGGAACUCGGCAAAAUGACUCCGUAACUUCGGGAGAAGGAGUGCCUUAUUUUAUAAGGUUGCAAUAACAAGAUCCAAGCAACUGUUUACCAAAAACACAGGUCUCCGCUAAGUCGUAAGACGAUGUAUGGGGGCUGACGCCUGCCCAGUGCCAGAAGGUUAAAGAAGUUGGUUAGCAUCCGCGAAGCUGAUAACUGAAGCCCUGGUGAACGGCGGCCGUAACAAUAACGGUCCUAAGGUAGCGAAAUUCCUUGUCGGGUAAGUUCCGACCCGCACGAAAGGCGUAAUGAUUUGGAUACUGUCUCAGAGAGGGGCUCGGUGAAAUAGACUUGUCUGUGAAGAUGCGGACUACCUGCACCAGGACAGAAAGACCCUAUGAAGCUUUACUGUAACUUGAAAUUGAAAUUGGACUUUACUUGCGCAGUAUAGGUGGGAGGCGUUGAGAAUAUUCUUGCGGGAAUGUUGGAGCCAUCAGUGAGAUACCACUCUUGUAAUGUUAGAUUUCUAACUUUGUAUCAUUAUCUGGUUAAAGGACAGUUUCAGGCGGGCAGUUUGACUGGGGCGGUCGCCUCCCAAACGGUAACGGAGGCGCACAAAGGUUUCCUCUGAACGGGUAGAAAUCGUAUCUAGAGUGUAAAGGCAUAAGGAAGCUUGACUGUGAGACCUACAAGUCGAGCAGGGACGAAAGUCGGUCUUAGUGAUCUGACGGUGCUGAGUGGAAAGGCCGUCACUCAACGGAUAAAAGUUACUCUAAGGAUAACAGGCUGAUCUCCCCCAAGAGUUCACAUCGACGGGGAGGUUUGGCACCUCGAUGUCGGCUCAUCGCAUCCUGGGGCGGUAGUACGUCCCAAGGGUUGGGCUGUUCGCCCAUGAAAGCGGUACGCGAGCUGGGUUCAGAACGUCGUGAGACAGUUCGGUCCAUAUCCGGUGUAGGCGUUAGAAUAUUGAGAGGAGCCUUCUUUAGUACGAGAGGACCGAGAAGGACAUACCUCUGGUGUACCAGUUAUCGUGCCAACGGUAAGCGCUGGGUAGCUAUGUAUGGAGUGGAUAACCGCUGAAAGCAUCUAAGUGGGAAGCCCACCCCAAGAUAAGUAUUCUCAU
Molecule: ribosomal RNA, 1245 nt
Filed under: metagenome
Description: bacterial LSU rRNA
Rfam family: Bacterial large subunit ribosomal RNA
Source: RNAcentral